GGCGACGCCGAGCGGAACCCGAAAGCCGUUCUCAGUUCGGAUCGGAGUCUGCAACCCGACUCCGUGAAGCUGGAUUCGCUAGUAAUCGCGCAUCAGCCAUGGCGCGGUGAAUACGUUCCCGGGCCUUGUACACACCGCCCGUCAAGCCAUGGGAGCCGGGGGUGCUUGAAGUGCGUCGCCGCGAGGCGCGCCCUAGAGCAAAACCGGUGACUGGAGCUAAGUCGUAACAAGGUACC
RNAcentral lists this ribosomal RNA (236 nucleotides) under uncultured bacterium. RNAcentral describes it as "partial 16S ribosomal RNA". It matches the Rfam family "Bacterial small subunit ribosomal RNA", at positions 1256 to 1500 of the family's 1533-position model. The record is from RNAcentral.